GCCUACGGCCAUACCACCCUGAACGCGCUCGAUCUUGUCUGAUCUCGGAAGCUAAGCAGGGUCGAGCCUGGUUAGUACUUGGAUGGAAAUAAUGAAUUGUUACACACUUUUGUCA
RNAcentral lists this ribosomal RNA (115 nucleotides) under Mustela putorius furo (domestic ferret). Lineage: Eukaryota; Metazoa; Chordata; Mammalia; Carnivora; Mustelidae. The record is from RNAcentral.